Molecule: long non-coding RNA, 1596 nt
Organism: Rhineura floridana
Lineage: Eukaryota; Metazoa; Chordata; Lepidosauria; Squamata; Rhineuridae
Exons: 3
Source: RefSeq, a predicted model, not a curated record
GUUACGCGGUGGCUGCGAUUGUGUGUCCUAGUCGCCGGCAGCCCCCUCCUGCCCGGCGAAGGGAAGCUACGACGGCUCCACCUGCUGGAGCAAGCCGGCAACCACCAACGCUAUGGCUGCUGUUUCUGUCUCGGCGUCGCCUCCACCGCCGCCACCUCCUUCUUCUUGGGCGCUCCGCCUUUAGGUUACCUCACCUAGAAACUGUGUCCAAUGCAAGGGAACAGUCCUGGAAAAAAUAUAAGGGAGGGGGGAUCCCCUUCAACAAUACCCUACGAAUCAGCGUGCCUCUGAGCGUGUGCAGAAGGAAGCACCACUGAACAUCAAUACUGCUGAAAAUUUGGACGUAUUUGAGGUCACAAAAAGGAGAUGAAAACCAACAAUGUUAGUGCAGGAAAAACAAUUCAGUAUCACCUCUGCACACUGGAGGAAAAUGUCACAACUGGGGAACUGACCAGAUGAACUGGCUUCAGACAGAAAUCGCCUUCACCCUAUGAAGAACUGAGUUAGCGCUUGGGACAAAAGAGGGAUCCAACCAAAGCAUUCUCUUUAUGCUGAUGAAGCAUGCACAGCUGUGGAUCAGACAACGCCUCCAGUUCCAAAACCCGUCUAGGUGGUGUGAUAGUUUCCAGGAACUUUUUAAACAUCCUCAUCUUUAGGGGGCACAUGGCCAUGCACUUGAACUGGGAUCCCAUUAGGGAAACCAUUACCCAGUUAAGAUUCCAAGUCGGAAACCCAUGUACUACCGAAAGGUUCAGCAGUGCUGCCUCUUUCAGGGAUGAUUUCAUUUGUGGUGCACCCUAGAACAUUGCUCACAGUUGCUGCCUGGCAUUUGACAGUAUUGGCUUUGGGCUGGGCCAGCCUGCAGAAACCACAGGAUGCCCUUAAGACAUCUACUGUCUGGGAUUUGGCCUUGACCCUCACACCAGGAGAGGAAUGCCAUUCAGAAUAUAUUGUACACUUUGUUUGUGGAGGCCUUACAAGAGGAUAGGAGCGUGUUUGGCAUUUUUUGUAACAUACCAUCUGUGUCUGCCACUUCUGAGUUCUGGUUGGGCAGAAGUUCCCUCCAGCUGGGGAGCCUCCAGAACUCCUGUGCCAACAAAUUGUGUGAUUCUGGGAACCUUAGCCAUCAAGAUCAAUGUGGGGUUAAUUAGGAUCUCCUUGGAAGCACCUUCCAUAGACCCAUGGCAUUAGCAGGCCACAGGGCCAACAGGUUUUUAAGGCAUAUGUGCUGUGGCAUAUGCACACAGGAACUGAGAAAUGAAUUGUUGGACUUGUGCAAACAGGCCCAGCAUUGGAUGUCCAAACCAACAAGUCAGUUAUGAACUACCGGAGGGUUCAGCAAUGGGAUUGAGAGUCUCAUUUCAACUCCUAGAUCAAAGCCCUGCUGAGUCAGUCUGGUGGAACCCACUACAUCUUCCACUCUGAUGAAUAGAAGGUGGAUCUCCACCUACAUCAACAGGUUACUUUCAUUUGUGCUGAGUGUGUGGAAUCUUGUGCCCCUUUUCCUGUUCAUAGAAGCUGAUGCAGGUCACUUCCAGAUGACCUGUUUAAUGAGCAUUCAUCCUGCUUUCUUUGCACAAAGUUUGUGGGGAGGUU